This 697-nucleotide ribosomal RNA is filed under the name uncultured bacterium. Its description in RNAcentral is "bacterial SSU rRNA". It matches the Rfam family "Bacterial small subunit ribosomal RNA", at positions 8 to 694 of the family's 1533-position model. The record is from RNAcentral.
AGAGUUUGAUCCUGGCUCAGAUUGAACGCUGGCGGCAGGCCUAACACAUGCAAGUCGAACGGUAACAGGAAGAAGCUUGCUUCUUUGCUGACGAGUGGCGGACGGGUGAGUAAUGUCUGGGAAACUGCCUGAUGGAGGGGGAUAACUACUGGAAACGGUAGCUAAUACCGCAUAACGUCGCAAGACCAAAAAGGGGGACCUUCGGGCCUCUUGCCAUCGGAUGUGCCCAGAUGGGAUUAGCUAGUAGGUGGGGUAACGGCUCACCUAGGCGACGAUCCCUAGCUGGUCUGAGAGGAUGACCAGCCACGCUGGAACUGAGACACGGUCCAGACUCCUACGGGAGGCAGCAGUGGGGAAUAUUGCACAAUGGGCGCAAGCCUGAUGCGGCCAUGCCGCGUGUAUGAAGAAGGCCUUCGGGUUGUAAAGUACUUUCAGCGGGGAGGAAGGGAGUAAAGUUAAUACCUUUGCUCAUUGACGUUACCCGCAGAAGAAGCACCGGCUAACUCCGUGCCAGCAGCCGCGGUAAUACGGAGGGUGCAAGCGUUAAUCGGAAUUACUGGGCGUAAAGCGCACGCAGGCGGUUUGUUAAGUCAGAUGUGAAAUCCCCGGGCUCAACCUGGGAACUGCAUCUGAUACUGGCAAGCUUGAGUCUCGUAGAGGGGGGUAGAAUUCCAGGUGUAGCGGUGAAAUGCGUAGA